RNAcentral lists this ribosomal RNA (455 nucleotides) under uncultured bacterium. RNAcentral describes it as "bacterial SSU rRNA". It matches the Rfam family "Bacterial small subunit ribosomal RNA", at positions 335 to 784 of the family's 1533-position model. The record is from RNAcentral.
ACUCCUACGGGAGGCAGCAGUGGGGAAUAUUGCACAAUGGGCGCAAGCCUGAUGCAGCCAUGCCGCGUGUAUGAAGAAGGCCUUCGGGUUGUAAAGUACUUUCAGCAGUGAGGAAGGUGGGUAUGUUAAUAGCAUACUCAUUUGUACGUUAGCUGCAGAAGAAGCACCGGCUAACUCCGUGCCAGCAGCCGCGGUAAGUACGGAGGGUGCGAGCGUUAAUCGGAAUUACUGGGCGUAAAGCGCAUGCAGGUGGUUGUUAAGUCAGAUGUGAAAGCCCGGGGCUCAACCUCGGAAUUGCAUUUGAAACUGGCAAACUAGAGUACUGUAGAGGGGGUAGAAUUUCAGGUGUAGCGGUGAAAUGCGUAGAGAUCUGAAGGAAUACCGGUGGCGAAGGCGGCCCCUGGACAGAUACUGACACUCAGAUGCGAAAGCGUGGGAGCAAACAGGAUUAGAUA